Molecule: unclassified non-coding RNA, 329 nt
Filed under: uncultured fungus
Lineage: Eukaryota; Fungi
Description: partial contains 18S rRNA, ITS1, 5.8S rRNA, ITS2 and 28S rRNA
Source: RNAcentral
AAGGAUCAUUAUCGAAUAAUCUUGAACGGGCUGUUGCUGGUCCCAUCUGCUGGGACAUGUGCACGCUUGUCAUCUUUAUCAUUUCUCCAACUGUGCACAUAUUGUAGACCCUGGGGGUGUUUUUGGUUUCGGAUUCGUUCCGAGGUGGGGGACUGCUGUGCUUUGCCUUUUCAGAAAGGAGAAAAAAAAGUCGGCUUUUCCCCUUUGCAUCUCCAGGUCUAUGGCAUUUUUCACAACCUCUCAAACUUGUAUAGAAUGUUGAAUAAGGUCCUUUUUUGUACCUAUAAAAGUUAUAAAUACAACUUUCAGCAACGGAUCUCUUGGCUCUC